This 927-nucleotide long non-coding RNA is filed under the name Homo sapiens (human). RNAcentral describes it as "testis expressed 41". The record is from RNAcentral. Lineage: Eukaryota; Metazoa; Chordata; Mammalia; Primates; Hominidae.
AGGAAGACCCUGGCCUCCAUCUUGAAAACGGAAAAUAAAAACAGCAGACCUAUGAAGGUCGAAGGGGAAGAAAAGCUGUAUCGAUUGUUGAGAUCUGGCGACUUGUUUAAAUUUCAUCAGCCUCACUUCUAUGAACUCUCAGGGUCCUCGUAAGAACUUCCAUUUUAUGUUCUUGUCUUCUCAUCAGUUUGAGUUGUGUCUUUAACAUUGGAGAGAAAAACAACUUGCAAGAUUUUCUUUCAGUAUGAACCAUUCUGAGGUCCUUCAAUUCUUUAGCUGAUUACCAACUCCUACCACUGUUAACCCUCAUCCAGGAACAAGCUUAUGUCUUUAACAUUCUGAGUGGGCUUCAGCAUCCUUGCAUAUGUUCAAUUCUUAAAAACCUGUUGAAAUAAAAGAUCAGGAGACAUAGGAAGGAUGCCAGAAGAGAGCGUGGCCUCACGUGUACCAGCUCUCUGCUCUCCUUUGCCUUGGGACGUUCCAUCCCUGGAAGUUUCCCUGCCCACAUCUUUGUAGAGAGUCCAUUCUCCAAGCUUCAGUGUGUCAUCUGUGAGGACCGUGACCCACCUGGUACAUCGCCUCAGGGCAUUCAUUUCAGGCUCCUUCUAAAUGGCCAAGAGACAACACCAACAUUUUUGUAAUGGCCUGCAAGGCCUUCCGAGAUCUACCUCCUGCAACUCAGCUUCUCCUGUGCUCUCCUUCUGGACUCACUCUGCCUCAGCAACACUGGUCCCUGUUGCCCCACCAAUAUGCCAGCUGCACUGAUGAGGAAACUGAAACAGAAAAUCCAGAGUAAAUUCCACCAGGCCACACAGCAAGGUCUGAUAGAGCCAGGAGAGACUUUAUGAAAUCCAGACUCUCACACUAAUGCUCUAUCAGCUAGACCUCCAUGUGAGUCUCCCCAAUGUAGGUAGGAAGUGCUUUCCC